GAAUCCAAUGCACGGUCGCGUUGCCUCCCUCGAGGGGCUCCGUCGCCGUGCGUCUUGGGCCUGUCUGUCGUCGACCCGCCAGUCGGAGCGACGUGGCCUCGAAUCGAUGGUUCCUUUGAAGAACGGACGAGAUCCUGUGGGACAAACGGGCCGUUUGGAAGGACUGAUACGUGGGGAGCGGCGUCUCGUCGCCCCCCUGAAU
RNAcentral lists this unclassified non-coding RNA (202 nucleotides) under uncultured Ascomycota. Its description in RNAcentral is "sequence contains ITS2". Lineage: Eukaryota; Fungi; Ascomycota. The record is from RNAcentral.